RNAcentral lists this ribosomal RNA (468 nucleotides) under uncultured bacterium. RNAcentral's name for it is "partial 16S ribosomal RNA". It matches the Rfam family "Bacterial small subunit ribosomal RNA", at positions 28 to 507 of the family's 1533-position model. The record is from RNAcentral.
GACGAACGCUGGCGGCGUGCUUAAUACAUGCAAGUCGAACGGAAAGGCGCUGCGCUUGCUGGGCGCUCGAGUGGCGAGCGCGUGUGUAACACGCGAGUAACCCGCCCUUGACUUUGGGAUAACUCUAGGAAACUGGGGCUAAAACAGGAUAGGAGAUCUUGAUGCACGGGGUGGGUUGGAAAGUUACGGCGGUUGGGGAUGGACUCGCAGGUUAUCCGCUGGUUGGGGGGGUAGUUGCGUACCAAGGGUUUGACGGAUAGCCGGCAUGAGAGGUGGGCCGGGCACAAUGGUCCUAAGAGACGGACCAGAAUCGUACGGGAGGCAGCAGUGGGGAGUAUUACACAAUGGGCGGAAGCCUGAUGCAGCAACGCCGCGUGCGUGAUAACGGCCUUCUGGUUGUAAACCGCUUUCGCCGGUGACGAGGCGUGCGUGACGGUAAUGGGUAAAGAAGCACCGGCUAACUACGUG